CCUACGGGCGACAGCAGUGGGGGAUAGUGCACAAUGGGGGGAACCCUGAUGCAGCGACGCCGCGUGGGUGAAGAAGGGCCUCGGCGCGUAAAGCCCUGUCAGCAGGGAAGAAAAGGACGGUAGCUGAAGAAGAAGCCCCGGAUAACGACGGGCCAGCAGCCGCGGGAAUACGUAGGGGGCAAGCGUUAGCCGGAUUGACGGGGGGGAACGGGGGCGGAGCCGGCGUUGCAAGACAGGAGUGAACGCCCGGGGCCCAACCCCGGGACUGCUCUUGGAACUGCGUGGCUGGAGUGCAGGAGGGGCUGGCGGAAUUCCUGGUGUCGCUGUGAACUGCGUAGAUCUCUGGAGGAACACCGGUGGCGCCGGCGUCCUGCUGGCCUGCACCUGCCGUUGAGGCCC
Molecule: ribosomal RNA, 399 nt
Filed under: uncultured bacterium
Lineage: Bacteria
Description: partial 16S ribosomal RNA
Rfam family: Bacterial small subunit ribosomal RNA
Source: RNAcentral